CUUCAGCCCCUUCUGCGGGCUCCGCAGUUCUUAUAGCUUGGCCUCGUCGUUCUACUCCAGGCUCCAGUUGAAGAAGUCGGGAGAGAGCAUCCAAGAGCAUCUGCAGCCUGGGCAGGGCAAGUCCUCUGGCCUGGCUGCAAAUAAAAGCAGAUCACCGAGUAAUGGAAGUGACCAUUAUCUGAAGCUUCAUUCUGACCAUUAUUUGACUACAUGAGAAUCAACACAACACUCAAAUGACUAUUCCUAAUGGCCUUUCCAUUUGCUUCCUUGUACUUUUGAUCACUGUGAAUGAAUUCCAUCACUGAGCACAUCAUGUCCAAAGGCCACUGUAAUAAGCACUCUGGGCAUCAGCAAAUGAAGUUAAGGAAGCUUACAAAGUAAUAAAGAAGACAAGUACACUAUGUAUUGGAUAUGUGCCAAUAGCUAUAAAGAUUAUUAAAGCAAACAGCUUAAAUGACCUCAGAUGCAAAGACUAAACGACCAUGGUUCAUUACCUUGCUUGCUUCUCAUAUACUUGCUGAUGUGUUAAGAGCUUCAGGUGAAGAAGACCCCCAUUUAAGCCACUGAAUUAGGAUUGAAGGAUCAGCACAGAUAUAAGCCAUCUGCCAAGUGUUUCAUGAUUGGUGACCAUUAGUAACAAGUGCAUGUGAGCAUCUGUAGUUUCACAUAUACUCAUACAUAGAAACAUGCAAAUGAAAAACAGCACAAACCAUAGAUUCUCCUUAUUCUUUUGACAGAAAACUGGUCAUUUGAAAACCAUUUAUUAGCUAUCCACCAUGUGUCAGGCAUUGUGCUAUGUGCUAUAUACUCAAAGACAAAAAUCACACCACCCCCAGCCUGCAAGAAACUUACAUAAUAACUGGGGAUAAAUAUUGUAAAUAUAUGGACAGUGGGCAAUAAUUGGAAAUAUUCCUGGUCCAACUGAAAACAAACAUGAGUUCAGGUCCAGGCUUUCCCACUAAUAAGUUAUAUGACCUUCAUCAUGUUAUUGUCAAAUCCCUGAGCCUCAAUUUCAUCAUAUGUAAAAUAAUGAAGCUGAACCUAGAUUAUUUCAGAUCUAAAAUUCAGUGAUUCUAUGAGGAAAACCAGAGGAUAGCAGAUAUACCAAAUCUGGAAAUGUUGUGGAGAAAAUCAGAUUCAAACAUAAUUCUGAAGACAAGAAGAAUUAAGGAUUGGAUUAUUAAUCAGUGGUUACUCUUCAAUCAACCAAAAUGAUUCUGCUUACUGAAGGUAUUCAGGAUAUUAAGGGAUGCUGCUAAAAGUCCUCUAUUAAAAAACAAGCAAAAGUAUCUGAUGUUAUAUCUGUGAAACAGGGGUCAUUUCUUUGGAUUAUGAUAUUCUUCUCCAGAAAUACCUAUUAUAAUGUAACUUCUUUGCAAAAUUCUCCUCAUUUUGAAUUAUUUAACAAUUAGAAAAUCUGAAGGUAAUGGGACAUAUUUAAAUGACAAUAAAGUGGAAAGAACUAGCAUGAACCAUUUCCAUUAAAAAGAAGGUCUUGUACACACACAAACACAUUCACACUUCAUGUAUUUAUACAUUCAGGACCCUGACAGGAUAUAAGUACCUGAAGUCAAGGUGGCUGCAUUUUGGGGAGGGGAAAAAGAAAAAAAAACAAAAUAUGGAGGUAGAAGGCAAACUUUGUCUUUGGAAUUCAUGUACUGGAACAUCUUUCUAUUUUCAGAAAGAAGACUUUGUUGUUAAAUAUUCAUAUAUUUUUGGUAUAGUGGGAGAGAAUGUUGAGUAGAGGAAGAGAUUAAGUGUUUGACUUGGAAUCAGGAAGAUUUGCAUUCCAUUCUGCCUUAUAUACUUAUUUGUCAAGUGAUUCUAGGCAUGUCCCUAACCUUUUGGGUCCCCAGUUUCUUCAUCUGUAAAAUGAAGCAUUUGGACUCAUUGGCCUCUUAAGUCCCUUCCAGGUCUACAUUUAUUAUCCUAUGUCCAAGAUUCAGAAGGAGAAAUAGUAGACACUGGUGAUUUGUACAUAUUAGGAAGUUAAUUGACAAAUUGAACUUAAAGAAGGUAUAGUGGACUGAACUCAGACCAAAUGUGAUUCUUACUAGCCAGGGCCAGUUAAAAAAACCUCUCUAAAUCUCAGGUUUCUUUUGUAAAAUGGGAAUAAUACUUGAACUAGCUACCUCACCAGUUUGUGAGGAAAUACUCAAAUGAUCUGUGAUAUCAUUAACAUGGAUGUUUCCUCCAACAGUGGAGAUGGAAACCUAUCCAUACCUAUUCAUCCUGUGUAACUCUUGUACAUUUCUUCCCAUAAAUUCACAAUAGGAGGUCUACCCAAAAUAUAGGAGACCUUCCUUGUUUUCUCUAGAAAAUGUAAGGAUACCUGUGAGACCCUCAUGGGCUUGCCGUUGGUUAUCAUUCAUUUUCCACAAAUAACUAAAGGGUCUUCUUUUUGAUCAUAGAUUUCAUUGACUGCAUCAUUUGCUGUAGCUCUUCUUUGUAAUUCUUAUGUUUUAUGUGCCUUUGCAUGUUUAUACUAAAGCUCUACAUGAAGUUAAGGUAUGAUAGCUCAUGUAUUUGCUAAAUAACACUUCACCGUUACAUAACAUAUAACAUCUAAUUCUUGAAAAAAUUAAAUAACUUUUUAUUCAAUUAGUAACUUCACUUAAUAUUGAUAUUUUGAAUGUCAUCCUUUGGUGAAAGAAAUAACUGUGAAAAUGCUUGAGAUUAAUUAUACAUUUAAUAUUCUCCUUCCCUUCACUUUAAAAGGAAUAGCAUGGCCUUUUUCAAGGAAAAAGUGUUCUUAUGUUUAUAUAAAAAGAUAUAAAUACAUAUCUCUAGAUAGAGAGAUAGAUGGAUGGAUGCACAGAUAGAUAUGUAGCUUGUAUAUAAUAGGUGCUUAAUAAAUGCUUCUUUUUGUAACCAUCUCCCCAACUAGGGUUUCAUUGCCUAUAGAAAGCCUUUCAUAAUGCCCAUAGUUAGAGCUUUCUUUCUCUUUGAAUUAUUUUGUAUAUACUUAUCAGUUUCCCAGUUUUAUAUUAACCCAACCUUUCCAGUAAAAUAUAAUUUAUUUAAAGGGAGGAGCUUUUCCCCCUUUGUUUUCCAAGUACUUAGGACAAUAUUUUACAUAUUAUAGGUACUUAGUAAGUGCAUGUUAUAUAGCAAGGUGAUAUAUAAAUUUAUAUUACUAUAGUCAUAUAUUUUUACAGAGAGGAAAAAAAACUGUGCCCUACAAUAUUGACAUUGAGUUUUUGGAGAAUAUUUUUGUCAUUUUGAAAGGAUAAAAAAUGUAAAAGGUUGAGUUAAAAGAAAUCAAAGGAAAAUUCCAAUUCUAAAUUAAAUAUCUACAUACAUACUUUCAUAUUAUUUACUAAAAUACUAUGUAAAUUGGUAAUAUUAUAAUUAAAGAUAUAUAUAUAUGUAUAUAUAUAUGUGUAUGGGGUGCUCAGGGAGGGGUAAUAUCUCUGGUAUGCAGGGCUUGUCGUGCCCUCCUAGGGCAGCUCUCCAGCCUCUGACCUGACACCCAGCUCUCACUUAUGGCUCCCAGUAGCUGCUAGCAUGCGGCAGCAGCCACACUCUGGGCAACGGCUUCGACAGGCUGGCUAAACCUUGUGAGGGUAGCCAUCGGGUCAUCGACCCCUGGUGAACCAGGGCUUUGCUCACCCAGCAUGUGAAGACUGCUUCGGCGGAACAGGCAGAAAAAACCAACAAGAAGGUUCAAUGGCUGAGAUGGCGAUGCAGCAAGGCACUGUGGAGUGCUCAGGGCAUGUUGGAGCACAAAAGAGAACAUGGCCAUCCAAUGCAGCUGAGGAAGUCUCCAGGUGUAACGACUUUUCGUGCCAAUGGACCCAGGCUUCCAACGCCGAGAGAGUGGGACUGUCUCUGUGCAUCGACUUUUCCACUUAAAUCUUCAUGCACAGGUGUCUUUGUGCACAAAAACGCACAAAGACAAUCGUCAUCCUCGGUUCGAGAGACAACCAACAUAUAUAACUUUAUUGAAAUUAUUUGAAUUCCAAAUCACAAUAUUAUUUACUUUUCUACAUAUUCUUUGAAAUAUUUUUUUAUAUAAGAGUCAACUCAAGGUUCAUAAAAAAAGAUAAAAAUGUGUAAAAGGAUACUUUUAUGACUUUUUAGUUUGGGAGUUAAUGUUUAAAUGCAUUUUUAAAAAUGCUUGUGAAAUACAAUAUUCCAGAUGAUCCUUGAUUAUUUCUGAAGGCUUUUCUUUAUUUUUAAGUAUGAUCUUAUUCCCACUUAUCCUUUAAUUGCCACCUUCUUCCUCCUAUAAUUCUCUUCCAAAGCUGUUCAGUUUUAAACUGGAUUAAGGUUUGAUAAAGUAAAUUAUUUGUAGGGCAAAACCUUUCCUGUUGACAAAGACAGUGGGAGACAAGCUGUCAAAAUGCAUUUUAUAAAAUCUCCUAAAGUAAACAUUUGUAAGAGAGCCACUUAGACAACAUAACAGCUCUAGAGUUUUAUUCAUUAUAACUCACAAAUGAAUGAACGUGUUAUAAGAAGAAAUGUUAGGACUGGCCUUAGACAUGGUUGUGGCUAGAUAAAACUGAGAGAGACAUGAGGUGUGAUUUCAUCCCCUUUUAAUUUUCUAUACUUAGUGGUGUUUGUUCACUAUCCCCUGUCAGAGAUCCAGUGGCUUCAUGCCCUUCUUACAUCUACCCAUUAAAACAUUUUCUGAAUAUAUUUUCUAGUAUUUAGACAUUUGUGUUUAAUAUGAAUUAGUUUGCCUUUUUAUCACCUCUACACAUAUUUUAAUUCAGUAAUGUUCUGUUCAAGUAAUUUCAGCUAUCACCCCAUACAUUGGUGAAUAUUUGUUUUGUUUCAUUUCUUAGUCAGAAAUCUAUAUUCAUAUAAGGGAAACUAAUUCCUAACCAGCCCUGUCCUGUGCAGAAAUAAGCAUGGCAGUCCUCCUCUCCUAUAUCUUCCCUCUCCGUAAGACUCCCCCUCCUCAUUAUUCUUUAUCCAUAAAAACUCAUGUAUAUACCUGAUGAAACCAAUCAGUGUUAUGAUAAUAGUUGUCAAUUAUGUUGGGGUUUGAUUUGUUUGGCCCCUUAAGAAAACCUUUCUAGAGAUAAAACAUUUUUUCAAAUGGGUUAUUUGAAUGGUGAGGAUUUUAAGAAUUGUAGCAAACCAAUGUAAUAAAUAUUGUAUGUGUGUAUGUUCUCCCCCUUACUCCCAUUAAAUCACUCCAUAAACUACCUACCCAAUGGGUCUGUUUAAUUAAUUUACCCUUAUAAGUAUCUUAACACUGACAUGUCAUUUAAAAACAUUUUGUAUCUCAAAAGCUUAAAUACCUGUUUCUACAGCCACAUUAAGACGUAUAAAUUUGUGUAAACUGAUUAAGAGGACUGCCUGGGCCAAAAGCAACAGUACCCAAAGACAAAUCAAUAGUAAUGCUGGAGCAACAAAGCCAUUUUUGGACCAAGCUUCCUGGGCCUAAAGGAGAUAUUCCUAGAAAAUUCCAGGAACAAACAGCGUCUGGUCCUGGGUUUUAGUAAAAGCUUUGUAGCCAUCUCAUUGCCCCUCAUUGGCAUUAUGAAUUAUAUGGAUUGUGCAGACCCAGGGAAAGAGGAUCAACUCCAAGUUGGAAUGGGGACUUCAAGGCCAAUCUGGGACACUAUAUAGGUCCCCAAGAGAUGUGGAACUCAUUAGAAAAGCAAAUGUUUGUUGUUAAUGUACAUUUCUGUUACUCUUUUGUGUUUUCUAUGAAGUGAAAUAAAGCUUGUGAAUUCAUUA
Molecule: non-coding RNA, 5694 nt
Organism: Monodelphis domestica (gray short-tailed opossum)
Lineage: Eukaryota; Metazoa; Chordata; Mammalia; Didelphimorphia; Didelphidae
Source: RefSeq, a predicted model, not a curated record